Long non-coding RNA from Apis dorsata (giant honeybee), 430 nucleotides. RefSeq lists it as uncharacterized. Lineage: Eukaryota; Metazoa; Arthropoda; Insecta; Hymenoptera; Apidae. The transcript has 3 exons. The record is from RefSeq and is a predicted model, not a curated record.
AAAAGGGAAACGAGGAAACGUAUCAAUGCGUGUUGGUGUACGUUGGCAAGAGUGUGGAUGGAAAGAGACGGAGCAGGUUGGGAAAAAGAAAAUCGUCAGCGCGUUACUUUAACGAAGGAUCGUUGGAGCAUCGAGGACGAUCGUUCAUUUUGCGCGUACGCCAGCUUUUUUCUGGUGUUGGAAAUUACGCAACUGCUGGUUCAGGAGGUCGAUGAGGGUAGGGGGAGGGGGCGAGGAAGGGAUGGUGGUGGAAAAAGUAGGGAAAAAGUAGUAGGGAGCGGUGGAACAAGCGGGAGUGGAGAUAGGUCGACGUCGAGCGAAGGAAAAAGGAAGCGGGCGAGCAGGAAGGAAGCGGUGAAACUGAUACAAACGCGACGAUACGACGAAAUAAACGAAAGAGAGAGAGAGAGAGAGAAAGAGGAGAGAUCGA